Molecule: ribosomal RNA, 252 nt
Filed under: uncultured bacterium
Lineage: Bacteria
Description: partial 16S ribosomal RNA
Rfam family: Bacterial small subunit ribosomal RNA
Source: RNAcentral
UACGGAGGAUGCGAGCGUUAUCCGGAUUUAUUGGGUUUAGAGGGUGCGUAGGCGGGCUUUUAAGUCAGCGGUAAAAAUUCGGGGCUCAACCCCGUCCGGCCGUUGAAACUGGGGGCCUUGAGUGGGCGAGAAGAAGGCGGAAUGCGUGGUGUAGCGGUGAAAUGCAUAGAUAUCACGCAGAACCCCGAUUGCGAAGGCAGCCUUCCGGCGCCCUACUGACGCUGAGGCACGAAAGUGCGGGGAUCGAACAGG